RNAcentral lists this ribosomal RNA (468 nucleotides) under uncultured bacterium. Its description in RNAcentral is "partial 16S ribosomal RNA". It matches the Rfam family "Bacterial small subunit ribosomal RNA", at positions 28 to 507 of the family's 1533-position model. The record is from RNAcentral.
GACGAACGCUGGCGGCGUGCUUAACACAUGCAAGUCGAACGGAAAGGCCCUGCUUUUGCUGUGUUCUCGAGUGGCGAGGGGGUGAGUAACACGUGAGUAACCUGCCCUUGACUUUGGGAUAACUUCAGGAGACUCGGGCUCAUACCGGAUAUGAUCUCCUGCUGCGUGGUGUUGGUUGGAAAGUUUCGGCGGUUGGGGAUGGACUCGCGGCUUAUCAGCUUGUUUGUCGAGUAGUGGCUUACCAAGGCUUCGACGGGUAGCCGGCAUGAGAGGGUGAACGGGGACAUUGGGACUGAGAGAGGGAGCAGACUGCUACGGGAGGCAGCAGUGGGGAACAUUGCACAAUGGGGGGAAGCGUGAUGCAGAAAUGCCGCGUGCGGGAUGACGGCCUUCGGGGGGUAAACAGCUUUCGCCUGAGACGAAGCGUGAGUGACGGUAAUGGGUAAAGAAGCACCGGCUAACUACGUG